Molecule: long non-coding RNA, 2114 nt
Organism: Clupea harengus (Atlantic herring)
Lineage: Eukaryota; Metazoa; Chordata; Actinopteri; Clupeiformes; Clupeidae
Source: Ensembl
CCCUGCCCCCCUCUCACACACACGGCUCAGAGGCCCCUCUGCAGAACGCCCCCCUCACGACGCCCCCCUCACGGCUCAGGAUAACGAGCCGUGAGGUUUGGAGCGUCUCAUCGAACACGCCGAUUCUCCCAGCCAGCCGUGCCAGGGUUCAUUCUCCCGAGCGUAAGUAAGUAAGUAAGUAAGUAAGUAAGUAAGUAAGUAAGGACGCUGUGGUGUGGCAACAGCAGCUACCUCUGCUAACAGAUGGCAAGGAACAAUGAGCAGAACAUAUUAGCACUGCUAAUGCCAAAUGCCACAAGGUUAAAGAGAGGGUGACUCUUGUUAUUACGGAAAGAGGAAGUCAUUUUCUCCUUCCAAAUGUCUUGUGAGGAACAGCAGAUGACAUACGUAUAUAUGUAUAUAUAGAGAGAGAGGGAAUAUUUUCAUUCAUCACAGAAAUGAAAAAACAUCUGUGUGUGGAUGGUGGGUAAGUGACAUUAAUCUUCUAAUUUUCCAAACGAUGAUAUGACCCUGUUAGUACAAGGCUGACAGGCAUGCAGUCUAACCAAGAGACUGUAAAGGUUUAUAAAGCACACUAGACCACAGUAUACAGACCAUACACACACACUAGACCAUAGUAUACACACCAUACACACACACUAGACCAUAGUAUACAGACCAUACACACACACUAGACCAUAGUAUACACACCAUACACACACACUAGACCAUAGUAUACACACCAUACACACACACUAGACCAUAGUAUACACACCAUACAGACACCAACUGUAACAGAUUACACUGAUGUCAGUCAUCGUCCACACCUGCCCAGACUGUCUGAUGCUCUGAGGUCUGGGUACUGGGUUCUGAGGUCUGGGUUCUGAGGUACUGGGUUCUGAAGUCUGGGUACUGAGGUCUGGAUACUGAGGUCUGGGUUCUGAGGUCUGGGUACUGAGGUCUGGGUUCUGAGGUCUGGGUACUGGGUUCUGAGGUCUGGGUACUGAGGUCUGGGUACUGGGGUCUGGGUUCUGAGGUCUGGGUACUGAGGUCUAGGUACUGGGUUCUGAGGUCUGGGUACUGAGGUCUGGGUACUGGGUUGUGAGGUCUGGGUUCUGAGGUCUGGGUACUGAGGUCUAGGUACUGGGUUCUGAGGUCUGGGUACUGAGGUCUGGGUACUGGGUUGUGAGGUCUGGGUACUGAGGUCUGGGUACUGGGUUCUGAGGUUUGGGUACUGAGGUCUGGGUACUGGGUUCUGAGGUCUGGGUACUGAGGUCUAGGUACUGGGUUCUGAGGUCUGGGUACUGAGGUCUGGGUACUGGGUUCUGAGGUCUGGGUUCUGAGGUCUGGGUACUGAGGUCUGGGGUCUGGAUACUGAGGUCUGGGUACUGAGGUCUGAGGUCGGGGUACUGAGGUCUGGGUACUGAGGUCUGGGUUCUGAGGUCUGGAUACUGAGGUCUGGGUACUGAGGUCUGGGUACUGAGGUCUGUGGUCUGAGGACUGUCUAAGGGGGUGGGUGUUUGUUUCUGUGUGUGUGUGAAGCGGCAUACCUUAAAGGACAGUGAAAGUGUGGUGGAGGAGAGAGUGUGUGUGUGGUGUGACUAGCUUGCUGCCAAUUCCAUGUCUGUCUUGUCUCCUGCUAACCCUCAGGUCUCUGUGUUAGCAUGCACACACACACACACACACACACCCUCAGGUCUCUGUGUUAGCAUGCCAUAGCAGUGCCACUGAAUCCAUUUGACUGGUUGAGAAAUUUGAAUUUAAAUAGGAGGCAUUUGCAUUGACAAAGUACAGACUCUUGCCUCAGGAAAAACAAUGUGUUGUAUAUUAAUGUAAUUUCAUAGCAUUUUUUCAGUUUUGCCAUUCAGAAUGAAGGAAUGCAAGGUAGACUACAUAACAUAAAAUGCAGCUCAUAUCAUACGGAACAGUGUAUUACAAAUCCAUGCGAUUGAGGUAGAAGGCUAGAAGGCCAGAUUUGUUUCUGCUUUGAAAUGCAACACAAACACCCAGGUGACGAGAAACUCAGAAGGUCAUCCAGGCCAGCAUCCACAGCAUUGCUUCAAUAUUUAAUCAAGUGGUCUUCCACUGGUGUUGCCUUACCGGAAAACACCAGAAGCCACCUCAAAGACCCCCCC